Molecule: ribosomal RNA, 2903 nt
Filed under: Klebsiella quasipneumoniae
Lineage: Bacteria; Pseudomonadati; Pseudomonadota; Gammaproteobacteria; Enterobacterales; Enterobacteriaceae
Description: 23S ribosomal RNA
Rfam family: Bacterial large subunit ribosomal RNA
Source: RNAcentral
GGUUAAGCGACUAAGCGUACACGGUGGAUGCCCUGGCAGUCAGAGGCGAUGAAGGACGUGCUAAUCUGCGAAAAGCGUCGGUAAGGUGAUAUGAACCGUUAUAACCGGCGAUGUCCGAAUGGGGAAACCCAGUGUGAUUCGUCACACUAUCGUUAACUGAAUACAUAGGUUAACGAGGCGAACCGGGGGAACUGAAACAUCUAAGUACCCCGAGGAAAAGAAAUCAACCGAGAUUCCCCCAGUAGCGGCGAGCGAACGGGGAGCAGCCCAGAGUCUGAAUCAGCUUGUGUGUUAGUGGAACGGUCUGGAAAGUCCGACGGUACAGGGUGAUAGUCCCGUACACCAAAAUGCACAGGCUGUGAACUCGAAGAGUAGGGCGGGACACGUGGUAUCCUGUCUGAAUAUGGGGGGACCAUCCUCCAAGGCUAAAUACUCCUGACUGACCGAUAGUGAACCAGUACCGUGAGGGAAAGGCGAAAAGAACCCCGGCGAGGGGAGUGAAAAAGAACCUGAAACCGUGUACGUACAAGCAGUGGGAGCACCUUCGGGUGUGACUGCGUACCUUUUGUAUAAUGGGUCAGCGACUUAUAUUCUGUAGCAAGGUUAACCGUAUAGGGGAGCCGCAGGGAAACCGAGUCUUAACUGGGCGUUAAGUUGCAGGGUAUAGACCCGAAACCCGGUGAUCUAGCCAUGGGCAGGUUGAAGGUUGGGUAACACUAACUGGAGGACCGAACCGACUAAUGUUGAAAAAUUAGCGGAUGACUUGUGGCUGGGGGUGAAAGGCCAAUCAAACCGGGAGAUAGCUGGUUCUCCCCGAAAGCUAUUUAGGUAGCGCCUCGUGAAUUCAUCUUCGGGGGUAGAGCACUGUUUCGGCUAGGGGGUCAUCCCGACUUACCAACCCGAUGCAAACUACGAAUACCGAAGAAUGUUAUCACGGGAGACACACGGCGGGUGCUAACGUCCGUCGUGAAGAGGGAAACAACCCAGACCGCCAGCUAAGGUCCCAAAGUCAUGGUUAAGUGGGAAACGAUGUGGGAAGGCACAGACAGCCAGGAUGUUGGCUUAGAAGCAGCCAUCAUUUAAAGAAAGCGUAAUAGCUCACUGGUCGAGUCGGCCUGCGCGGAAGAUGUAACGGGGCUAAACCAUGCACCGAAGCUGCGGCAGCGACGCUUAUGCGUUGUUGGGUAGGGGAGCGUUCUGUAAGCCUGCGAAGGUGGCCUGUGAGGGUUGCUGGAGGUAUCAGAAGUGCGAAUGCUGACAUAAGUAACGAUAAAGCGGGUGAAAAGCCCGCUCGCCGGAAGACCAAGGGUUCCUGUCCAACGUUAAUCGGGGCAGGGUGAGUCGACCCCUAAGGCGAGGCCGAAAGGCGUAGUCGAUGGGAAACAGGUUAAUAUUCCUGUACUUGGUGUUACUGCGAAGGGGGGACGGAGAAGGCUAUGUUAGCCGGGCGACGGUUGUCCCGGUUUAAGCAUGUAGGCUGGUUAUCCAGGCAAAUCCGGAUAAUCAAGGCUGAGGUGUGAUGACGAGGCACUACGGUGCUGAAGUAACAAAUGCCCUGCUUCCAGGAAAAGCCUCUAAGCAUCAGGUAACAUCAAAUCGUACCCCAAACCGACACAGGUGGUCAGGUAGAGAAUACCAAGGCGCUUGAGAGAACUCGGGUGAAGGAACUAGGCAAAAUGGUGCCGUAACUUCGGGAGAAGGCACGCUGGUGUGUAGGUGAAGUCCCUGCGGAUGGAGCUGAGACCAGUCGAAGAUACCAGCUGGCUGCAACUGUUUAUUAAAAACACAGCACUGUGCAAACACGAAAGUGGACGUAUACGGUGUGACGCCUGCCCGGUGCCGGAAGGUUAAUUGAUGGGGUUAUCCGUAAGGAGAAGCUCUUGAUCGAAGCCCCGGUAAACGGCGGCCGUAACUAUAACGGUCCUAAGGUAGCGAAAUUCCUUGUCGGGUAAGUUCCGACCUGCACGAAUGGCGUAAUGAUGGCCGGGCUGUCUCCACCCGAGACUCAGUGAAAUUGAACUCGCUGUGAAGAUGCAGUGUACCCGCGGCAAGACGGAAAGACCCCGUGAACCUUUACUAUAGCUUGACACUGAACAUUGAGCCUUGAUGUGUAGGAUAGGUGGGAGGCUUUGAAGCGUGGACGCCAGUCUGCGUGGAGCCAACCUUGAAAUACCACCCUUUAAUGUUUGAUGUUCUAACGUUGGCCCCUUAUCGGGGUUGCGGACAGUGUCUGGUGGGUAGUUUGACUGGGGCGGUCUCCUCCCAAAGCGUAACGGAGGAGCACGAAGGUUAGCUAAUCCUGGUCGGACAUCAGGAGGUUAGUGCAAUGGCAUAAGCUAGCUUGACUGCGAGCGUGACGGCGCGAGCAGGUGCGAAAGCAGGUCAUAGUGAUCCGGUGGUUCUGAAUGGAAGGGCCAUCGCUCAACGGAUAAAAGGUACUCCGGGGAUAACAGGCUGAUACCGCCCAAGAGUUCAUAUCGACGGCGGUGUUUGGCACCUCGAUGUCGGCUCAUCACAUCCUGGGGCUGAAGUAGGUCCCAAGGGUAUGGCUGUUCGCCAUUUAAAGUGGUACGCGAGCUGGGUUUAGAACGUCGUGAGACAGUUCGGUCCCUAUCUGCCGUGGGCGCUGGAGAAUUGAGGGGGGCUGCUCCUAGUACGAGAGGACCGGAGUGGACGCAUCACUGGUGUUCGGGUUGUCAUGCCAAUGGCACUGCCCGGUAGCUAAAUGCGGAAGAGAUAAGUGCUGAAAGCAUCUAAGCACGAAACUUGCCCCGAGAUGAGUUCUCCCUGAGACUUUAAGUCUCCUGAAGGAACGUUGAAGACGACGACGUUGAUAGGCCGGGUGUGUAAGCGCAGCGAUGCGUUGAGCUAACCGGUACUAAUGAACCGUGAGGCUUAACCUU